UUCCCCCUACGGGGCGCAGCAGUGGGGAAUAUUGCACAAUGGGGGAAACCCUGAUGCAGCAACGCCGCGUGAGUGAAGAAGUAUCUCGGUAUGUAAAGCUCUAUCAGCAGGGAAGAAAAUGACGGUACCUGACUAAGAAGCCCCGGCUAACUACGUGCCAGCAGCCGCGGUAAUACGUAGGGGGCAAGCGUUAUCCGGAUUUACUGGGUGUAAAGGGAGCGUAGACGGCAGUGCAAGUCUGAAGUGAAAGGCGGGGGCCCAACCCCCGGACUGCUUUGGAAACUGUGCUGCUGG
This 294-nucleotide ribosomal RNA is filed under the name uncultured bacterium. RNAcentral describes it as "partial 16S ribosomal RNA". It matches the Rfam family "Bacterial small subunit ribosomal RNA", at positions 333 to 644 of the family's 1533-position model. The record is from RNAcentral.